GCCGAGGACUGUGAAGGAAGCAGGGAGACUGAGUCUCCACCAGCUGUUUAAACUAGGGUUACUUUGACCGCUGGAAUACGGCACGUCUCAUGCAGAAGACAUGGGCACUGGUGGCAGCUUUCCACAGCGUUGUCUUAGACUGUAUGUGCUGGGGAAGCCAGGCACUGUGGAAAGGUCCAGAAGAAUGAAAGUCUCUACCAGAAGACAGCACCAACUUGCCAGCCAUGCUGGCCUUGAACUCAGGGAGAUCCUCCUGCCUCAACUUCUCCAGGGCUGUGAUUACAGGCGUGUGCCACCAUGCCUGGCAAGUGGAUUGAACUCGGGUCCUUGUGCUUGCACAGCAGGCGGUGAAACCACUCAGCUAAAUCCCCGGCCUAAAUAUGUUUCUAAUGGGAAAUGCAUAUCAUCAAAGGAUCGAACUCAGGACCUUGCACUUUCGAGGCAGGCACCGGAACCAAUGAGCUAAAUCCCUGGCCCUCCUCUCUUUUGAACGGACCUUCUCAUGUGACUCAGUUACUUUUUUUAUUAAUUCAUUUUU
Heterocephalus glaber (naked mole-rat) is the source of this 538-nucleotide long non-coding RNA. The record is from Ensembl. Lineage: Eukaryota; Metazoa; Chordata; Mammalia; Rodentia; Bathyergidae.